This 374-nucleotide ribosomal RNA is filed under the name uncultured bacterium. RNAcentral describes it as "bacterial SSU rRNA". It matches the Rfam family "Bacterial small subunit ribosomal RNA", at positions 335 to 704 of the family's 1533-position model. The record is from RNAcentral.
ACUCCUACGGGAGGCAGCAGUGAGGAAUAUUGGUCAAUGGACGCAAGUCUGAACCAGCCAUGUCGCGUGCAGGAAGACUGCCCCUAUGGGUUGUAAACUGCUUUUUAUACGGGAAGAAAUAUAGCUACGUGUAGUUAUUUGCCGGUACCGUAUGAAUAAGCAUCGGCUAACUCCGUGCCAGCAGCCGCGGUAAUACGGAGGAUGCGAGCGUUAUCCGGAUUCAUUGGUUUUAAAGGGUGCGUAGGCGGAAGUAUAAGUCAGGGGUGAAAGUUUGUGGCUCAACCAUAAAAUUGCCUUUGAUACUGUAUUUCUUGAGUACAUUUGAGGUAGGCGGAAUGUGUUGUGUAGCGGUGAAAUGCUUAGAUAUAACACAG